This 1242-nucleotide ribosomal RNA is filed under the name metagenome. Its description in RNAcentral is "bacterial LSU rRNA". It matches the Rfam family "Bacterial large subunit ribosomal RNA", at positions 1564 to 2817 of the family's 2925-position model. The record is from RNAcentral.
UGAAUACGAGACGCUAAGGCGUCGAAGUAGUGUAUGUCAUACUUCCAAGAAAAGCUUGCACUGUCAUAGAUAAAAAACGCCUGUACCAUAACCGACACAGGUGGGUAGGUAGAGUAUACUAAGGGGCGCGAGAUAACUCUCUCUAAGGAACUCGGCAAAAUAACUCCGUAACUUCGGGAGAAGGAGUGCCUUAUUCGUAAGGUUGCAAUAACAAGAUCUAAGCAACUGUUUAUCAAAAACACAGGUCUCCGCUAAGUCGUAAGACGAUGUAUGGGGGCUGACGCCUGCCCAGUGCCAGAAGGUUAAAGAAGUUGGUUAGCAAUUGCGAAGCUGAUAACUGAAGCCCUGGUGAACGGCGGCCGUAACAAUAACGGUCCUAAGGUAGCGAAAUUCCUUGUCGGGUAAGUUCCGACCCGCACGAAAGGCGUAAUGAUUUGGAUACUGUCUCGGAGAGGGGCUCGGUGAAAUAGACUUGUCUGUGAAGAUGCGGACUACCUGCACCAGGACAGAAAGACCCUAUGAAGCUUUACUGUAACUUGAAAUUGAAAUUGGACUUUAUUCGCGCAGCAUAGGUGGGAGGCGUUGAUUAUAAUCUUGCGGGAUUAUUGGAGCCAUCAGUGAGAUACCACUCUUGUAAUGUUAGAUUUCUAACUUUGAAUCAUUAUCUGUCAAAGAACAGUUUCAGGCGGGCAGUUUGACUGGGGCGGUCGCCUCCUAAACGGUAACGGAGGCGUACAAAGGUUUCCUCUGAACGGUUAGAAAUCGUAUCUAGAGUGUAAAGGCAUAAGGAAGCUUGACUGUGAGACCUACAAGUCGAGCAGGGACGAAAGUCGGUCUUAGUGAUCUGACGGUACUGAGUGGAAAGGCCGUCACUCAACGGAUAAAAGUUACUCUAGGAUAACAGGCUGAUCUCCCCCAAGAGUUCACAUCGACGGGGAGGUUUGGCACCUCGAUGUCGGCUCAUCGCAUCCUGGGGCGGUAGUACGUCCCAAGGGUUGGGCUGUUCGCCCAUGAAAGCGGUACGCGAGCUGGGUUCAGAACGUCGUGAGACAGUUCGGUCCAUAUCCGGUGUAGGCGUUAGAAUAUUGAGAGGAGCCUUCUUUAGUACGAGAGGACCGAGAAGGACAUACCUCUGGUGUACCAGUUAUCGUGCCAACGGUAAACGCUGGGUAGCUAUGUAUGGAGUGGAUAACCGCUGAAAGCAUCUAAGUGGGAAGCCCACCUCAAGAUAAGUAUUCUCAU